GGCUUUUCUGUCUGACACACUGCAGCUGGAGCACCAUGUGGAGAUGCAGUAAUUUGAUCUGUAAUUUGGUCCAGUACCUUCGUUUUUAGCAUUAUAAAAUGAGCUCAGGAUUCUAAGUGGUCUGAGUUGAACCCCCUCCUCUGGUCUCCCUCUCUCCCCUCCAGGAGUUGUCGGCGUCCCAGCAGGAGCAGCUCCAGCAGAGGGCAGCAUACCUCCGUCAGCAGCGAGACAAGCUCCACGCUCUGAGGAAAGAGCAGCAGAAAACCAAGCAGCCAACCAAACCAGAGGAGGCACCGACCAGCCCCACACCAGCACCCUCCACCACCCCGGAGAUAUCUGCUGAGGAGCGGAAGAAGCUCCAGAAGAGAAAACACCUGGCUGACAAGCUGAAAGAGGAAGUCAUCAAGAAAUAACUUCCCCUCCGAAUGCAAUAUUCUCGUCUGUAUCCAUCCUAUCUCCGUCACUCUGGUAAACAAACACGAGGCUUCCUUUUACACUGCCCCAUAAUUCACUUUGCAGAGCACAGGUCGGGGGUUUUGUUUUUCCAAAGAGUCACGAAAAUUACGAGAUCUUCCUUCUUUAGAGUUCUUUUCGUUGCUGUUUAAAGAGCAAAAAGGUGCAUCUUCUUGUUUGUUUUUUUUUUAACUAUGCCAGUAUAUGACAGUCUCUACUCGUAACACGCCACUCACGUAUUUAAGGAUCUGUUAGGUAGCGGCAUUGGACUGAGAAAGUUAAGAAAACGUCACGCGCAGCUGAAAAGCACACGGGCCAGUCAGGCAAUAUGCUGCCAAUAGCUGUCAGUUAUUGUUACGAGACGAACCUGGGCUGUGUCCAAAAUCACGUCUUAUUUAAGUGCAACGCAUUUACUUACAAUUAAAAUUUUGUAGACUCCAAACUGUACAAUUUACAGGCAGUUCAGUGCCCUCAACAGACAAAUAAAUGCUAAUGUGUUUUUUGUUUUUUUUUUUCAAGCAAAAAUACCUCCUAAAGUACACAAGAUGUAUUUAAAUCUUGCACUGUUGUUCAAAUCAAAUAAGCCAUACGACCAGCACUUUUUAGUUCUCUUGCAUUUUAUAGCCAAUAGAUUGAGAAAAUAAUGUGCAGAUUUAUUGAUCAUGGAGGUUUGUUGCCCUGGAAAUGUCACAGCGAUGCUUCACCUCGACUAAAUGUGAAAACUAUUAUUAUGCAACACUACAGCUUAAGUCAACUAUUACAUUACACAGGGAGGAGGAAGAGGAGGAGUGUGAUUUUGGACACGGUUACAGCUUCGUUUCUACGUAGAGAACGCUCAGAGAUGUUCUAAAUGCGCUGUGUGAUGAGCCAGACUCUGAGUUAAGCAGUAAUGGUGACAUAAGACUUAAUUGGGAGAGACUAUUAGCAGGACAGUCUUAUUUUCCACCAUUGUUAGCGUUUCCAAAGGGAAGCGAGUACAUCGUUCACACUAUAGCAGCUCAAGCUAGUUACAAAAAAAUGGUGUGGAAGUUGUCAAGAUGAACGUCACGUGUUCAUAAAGGGGCCAAGAGAAGAGAGUGCAGUAUUUAUCUUCAACCCAAUCUGGAGUCUUCACUUUAAGCAGUCAGGAUGCACCAGUUUCUAUGUAAUAUUGUUCUCAUGUAUGCUGUUUAAUAAACCACAUUUUAUAGGAAACGA
Long non-coding RNA from Stegastes partitus (bicolor damselfish), 1650 nucleotides. RefSeq lists it as uncharacterized. The transcript is spliced from 2 exons. The record is from RefSeq and is a predicted model, not a curated record. NCBI's taxonomy places the organism in Eukaryota, Metazoa, Chordata, Actinopteri, Pomacentridae.